RNAcentral lists this ribosomal RNA (1541 nucleotides) under Klebsiella pneumoniae. RNAcentral describes it as "bacterial SSU rRNA". It matches the Rfam family "Bacterial small subunit ribosomal RNA". The record is from RNAcentral. Lineage: Bacteria; Pseudomonadati; Pseudomonadota; Gammaproteobacteria; Enterobacterales; Enterobacteriaceae.
AAAUUGAAGAGUUUGAUCAUGGCUCAGAUUGAACGCUGGCGGCAGGCCUAACACAUGCAAGUCGAGCGGUAGCACAGAGAGCUUGCUCUCGGGUGACGAGCGGCGGACGGGUGAGUAAUGUCUGGGAAACUGCCUGAUGGAGGGGGAUAACUACUGGAAACGGUAGCUAAUACCGCAUAAUGUCGCAAGACCAAAGUGGGGGACCUUCGGGCCUCAUGCCAUCAGAUGUGCCCAGAUGGGAUUAGCUAGUAGGUGGGGUAAUGGCUCACCUAGGCGACGAUCCUAGCUGGUCUGAGAGGAUGACCAGCCACACUGGAACUGAGACACGGUCCAGACUCCUACGGGAGGCAGCAGUGGGGAAUAUUGCACAAUGGGCGCAAGCCUGAUGCAGCCAUGCCGCGUGUGUGAAGAAGGCCUUCGGGUUGUAAAGCACUUUCAGCGGGGAGGAAGGCGGUGAGGUUAAUAACCUCAUCGAUUGACGUUACCCGCAGAAGAAGCACCGGCUAACUCCGUGCCAGCAGCCGCGGUAAUACGGAGGGUGCAAGCGUUAAUCGGAAUUACUGGGCGUAAAGCGCACGCAGGCGGUCUGUCAAGUCGGAUGUGAAAUCCCGGGCUCAACCGGGAACUGCAUUCGAAACUGGCAGGCUAGAGUCUUGUAGAGGGGUAGAAUUCCGUGUAGCGGUGAAAUGCGUAGAGAUCUGGAGGAAUACCGGUGGCGAAGGCGGCCCCCUGGACAAAGACUGACGCUCAGGUGCGAAAGCGUGGGGAGCAAACAGGAUUAGAUACCCUGGUAGUCCACGCCGUAAACGAUGUCGAUUUGGAGGUUGUGCCCUUGAGGCGUGGCUUCCGGAGCUAACGCGUUAAAUCGACCGCCCGGGAGUACGGCCGCAAGGUUAAAACUCAAAUGAAUUGACGGGGCCCGCACAAGCGGUGGAGCAUGUGGUUUAAUUCGAUGCAACGCGAAGAACCUUACCUGGUCUUGACAUCCACAGAACUUUCCAGAGAUGGAUUGGUGCCUUCGGGAACUGUGAGACAGGUGCUGCAUGGCUGUCGUCAGCUCGUGUUGUGAAAUGUUGGGUUAAGUCCCGCAACGAGCGCAACCCUUAUCCUUUGUUGCCAGCGGUCCGGCCGGGAACUCAAAGGAGACUGCCAGUGAUAAACUGGAGGAAGGUGGGGAUGACGUCAAGUCAUCAUGGCCCUUACGACCAGGGCUACACACGUGCUACAAUGGCAUAUACAAAGAGAAGCGACCUCGCGAGAGCAAGCGGACCUCAUAAAGUAUGUCGUAGUCCGGAUUGGAGUCUGCAACUCGACUCCAUGAAGUCGGAAUCGCUAGUAAUCGUAGAUCAGAAUGCUACGGUGAAUACGUUCCCGGGCCUUGUACACACCGCCCGUCACACCAUGGGAGUGGGUUGCAAAAGAAGUAGGUAGCUUAACCUUCGGGAGGGCGCUUACCACUUUGUGAUUCAUGACUGGGGUGAAGUCGUAACAAGGUAACCGUAGGGGAACCUGCGGUUGGAUCACCUCCUUACCUUAAAGAA